CCUACGGGAGGCAGCAGUGGGGAAUUUUGGACAAUGGGCGCAAGCCUGAUCCAGCCAUGCCGCGUGCGGGAAGAAGGCCUUCGGGUUGUAAACCGCUUUUGUCAGGGAAGAAAUCCCUUGAGCUAAUACCUCGGGGGGAUGACGGUACCUGAAGAAUAAGCACCGGCUAACUACGUGCCAGCAGCCGCGGUAAUACGUAGGGUGCAAGCGUUAAUCGGAAUUACUGGGCGUAAAGCGUGCGCAGGCGGUUAUGUAAGACAGGUGUGAAAUCCCCGGGCUUAACCUGGGAACUGCACUUGUGACUGCAUAGCUUGAGUGCGGCAGAGGGGGAUGGAAUUCCGCGUGUAGCAGUGAAAUGCGUAGAUAUGCGGAGGAACACCGAUGGCGAAGGCAAUCCCCUGGGCCUGCACUGACGCUCAUGCACGAAAGCGUGGGGAGCAAACAGGAUUAGAUACCCUGGUAGUCCACGCCCUAAACGAUGUCAACUGGUUGUUGGACGGCCUGCUGUUCAGUAACGUAGCUAACGCGUGAAGUUGACCGCCUGGGGAGUACGGCCGCAAGGUUGAAACGUCAAAUGAAUUGACGGCUGGAGACGNGCGACGGACGACGACGAGGGAGGAGG
Molecule: ribosomal RNA, 622 nt
Filed under: uncultured bacterium
Lineage: Bacteria
Description: bacterial SSU rRNA
Rfam family: Bacterial small subunit ribosomal RNA
Source: RNAcentral